RNAcentral lists this ribosomal RNA (363 nucleotides) under Cryptocercus primarius. RNAcentral's name for it is "partial 16S ribosomal RNA". The record is from RNAcentral. Lineage: Eukaryota; Metazoa; Arthropoda; Insecta; Blattodea; Cryptocercidae.
GGUAAUUUAGUCUUAUAAUCAAUAAAAAUGGAUCAAACACAUAUAAAUAAAUAUAUAUAACAAAAAGAGUUAAUUUAAUCUUUCCAUCACCCCAACAAAAUAAAUUUUUAUAUUAAAAAAUAUCAUACAAAAAAAAAUAAAAAUCUAUAAAACUCUAUAGGGUCUUCUCGUCCCAAAAACCCAUUUAGGCAUUUUAACCUAAAAUUUAAAUUCAAUAAAAAAAUAAAGACAGUUAACACCUCGUCAAACCAUUCAUUCCAGCCUACAAUUAAAAGACUAAUGAUUAUGCUACCUUUGCACGGUCAAAAUACCGCGGCCAUUCAAUACAGUGGGCAGGCCAUACAUCAAAAUAUACAAGAAGAG